RNAcentral lists this ribosomal RNA (510 nucleotides) under uncultured marine eukaryote. Its description in RNAcentral is "SSU rRNA". It matches the Rfam family "Eukaryotic small subunit ribosomal RNA", at positions 613 to 1126 of the family's 1831-position model. The record is from RNAcentral.
UUGCGGUUAAAAAGCUCGUAGUUGGAUUUCUGUUGAGGAUGACCGGUCCGCUCUUUGAGCGCGUAUCUGGUUCAGCCUUGGCAUCCUCUUGGGGAACGCUACUGUGCUUGAUUGCAUGGGGCGGUAUUCAAGACUUUUACUUUGAGGAAAUUAGAGUGUUCACUGCAAGCGUUAGCAAUUGAAUACAUUAGCAUGGAAUAAUAAUAUAGGACCUUGGUACUAUUUUGUUGGUUUCUAGAACUAAGGUAAUGAUUAAUAGGGACAAUUGGGGGCAUUCGUAUUAACGCGUCAGAGGUGGAAUUCUUAGAUUGCGUUACGACGAACUACUGCGAAAGCAUUUGCCAAGGAUGUUUUCAUUGAUCAAGAACGAAAGUAUGGGGAUCGAAGACGCUUAGAUACCGUCGUAGUCUAUACCAUAAACUAUGCCAACUAGAGAUUGGAGGUCGUUCUCUUUAUGACUCCUUCAGCACCUUAUGAGAAAUCGAAGUCUUUGGGUUCCGGGGGGAGUAU